GAGUUGGCUAGAAGGGCUAUUUAUCAUGCUACAUUCCGAGAUGGAGCCAGUGGUGGAGUUGCUAGCGUUUAUUAUGUGGGACCGAAUGGAUGGAAGAAGCUAUCUGGCGAUGAUGUUGGAGAACUCCACUAUAAAUACUAUCCGGUUAUGCCCAGCACAGUGGAACAGGAGAUGGUUGAAGUAUCAGGGGCAUGAGAAAACCUUGAUCAGGUUGGACUAGAUUGGAUACUCUUCCCCUCUUCAUGGUAUCUGAUAGAGAUGGCGUGCAAUGCAUCUUAUGUACUUGAAACCACUAACUAUUGGUGUUCUUCAGUUUAUUCCUGGAACAA
Molecule: unclassified non-coding RNA, 329 nt
Filed under: Hevea brasiliensis (rubber tree)
Lineage: Eukaryota; Viridiplantae; Streptophyta; Magnoliopsida; Malpighiales; Euphorbiaceae
Source: RNAcentral